This 460-nucleotide ribosomal RNA is filed under the name uncultured bacterium. RNAcentral's name for it is "partial 16S ribosomal RNA". It matches the Rfam family "Bacterial small subunit ribosomal RNA", at positions 338 to 795 of the family's 1533-position model. The record is from RNAcentral.
CCUACGGGGCGCUGCAGUGAGGAAUAUUGGUCAAUGGACGAGAGUCUGAACCAGCCAAGUAGCGUGAAGGAUGACUGCCCUAUGGGUUGUAAACUUCUUUUAUAAAGGAAUAAAACGAGGCACGUGUGCCUUUUUGCAUGUACUUUAUGAAUAAGGAUGGGCUAACUCCGUGCCAGCAGCCGCGGUAAUACGGAGGAUCCGUGCGUUAUACGGAUUUAUUGGGUUUAAAGGGCGCGUAGAUGGGUUGUUAAGUCAGUUGUGAAAGUUUGCGGCUCAACCGUAAAAUUGCAAUGGAUACUGGCAGGCUUGAGUACAGUUGAGGUAGGCGGAAUUUGUGGUGUAGCGGUGAAAUGCUUAGAUAUCCCGAAGAACCCCGAUUGCGAAGGCAGCUUACUAAACUGUGACUGACAUUGAUGCUCGAAAGUGUGGGUAUCAAACAGGAUUAGAUACCCCAGUAGUC